Non-coding RNA from Capsicum annuum, 105 nucleotides. Lineage: Eukaryota; Viridiplantae; Streptophyta; Magnoliopsida; Solanales; Solanaceae. The record is from Rfam.
ACCUCGUGGUUGGGACAUUGCAUAAGUUUCCCAUUAAAUAUCUCUCAUGCUUCAUAUAGAGGUUCUCUAUUUAAUUAAUGAAAUUAGUAAUUUUGUUAUGCAAUU